GAAACUUCUCUCCACCUAUUGGGGCUGGAGGCCUGAGUCACAAGCCCCUUGUUUACAUAAAGUGUUUAGGUAGCACAAGUCCUUGAGAUGCUCGGGGUAGAGAUGGAGAGCCACUGCUCGUAUCCUUCUGCCGGCUUCUGCUUGAGAUCUCUUGGCCUUUACCCUUGUCCCUUGACUUUUCGUGUUUGUUUUAAUCUUUAAGACUUGAAAUGGAGUGGCCUUUAGAACCGGGGAGAUACUGUAAACCAGCAGUAUCUUUGUGUCACCAAUGGUAACUGAAAGUCAUGCUGAAGUACAGAUUCCUGUAGCGUGCACAGAGGCAGAGGUGCUUCCUUUACCUUGCAGAUGAGUUGAGCGGCGUAAGAUGUUUCUGUUAGGGUUGAAUUUCAUGGUUAUUUCAGCAACGAUUUUCGUUUUUGAAGUUUUGGCCCCCCCAAAAAUGAAAGUCUGCAACGCAUGUUUGUUAAGAGAACAGUUUAUUCUCCUGUUAGGUUUUGGUCUUUGAGGUAUGGAUUCCAGAGUUGGCUAUUCUGUUAGAUUUAGAGGUGUGGAAAAUCUUUUAACGGGGAGAUCCUGAAACACGGAAACAUGGCAGGGAAGUUAGAAUUUCCUGAUGGUCAUUUUUAACAUUUUAAAGUUUACUUUUUGGUUGUUGCCAUUUUUCUAGAAUCCGUGUCUUUUUUGGGGAAAUACAGUCCUUUGAGGACUAGAAUUUAAUGAUUUCUUUACACAUCUAGGAUUUUUUGAGAUUUAGAAAGGAUAUGGCUUUAUUCCUAAGGAAGUGGAGGCAGCAGUUUCUAGGAUACUCUGGUUUCAAGGCAUGCUAACUUGGUUGUGAUGUCUAACCCAUUUUGGUUUACACAGUCUGACCACUAGCACAAUGCCUGGCACAUAGUUUACAAAUCAUUUAAGGCAAGCUUACCAUCUUAAGACAAUUUAAUACAUAGAAGUGUCCCUCCUAAAAAUCUGAGUUUGAUUUAGAAAUCCAGUUAUACCUGCAGGUACUGAUGACUAAUUCCUUCUUUGAAGACAAAAUAAGCAGCUGUGUAGCUUCAGUGGCUCUCAAAUGGAUAAUAGAUUCAGUGUAUACUCGCUUUGAACUUUCCUGUUUUUUGAUCAGCUAGAUAAAUGACUUUAGUGGGUAAAUGUCUGCCUCCAAAACCAAAUUCUGACCCUGAUCUAAGUAUUCUACUGCACCGCUGUCACUGGAAUAUCAAAGUUGGCCUUCAGACUGGUGCCUGGUUCCUUGGAUUGGCUUGAGUAUUGAGGUCUGUCUCAUCUUACUAGGGAACUAAAAUGAUGUUGAUUGUUUUGUAGAGAAUUGUAAUUAGAGAUCUGUAGGUUCUUAAUUCUUUUGGAAUUCCAUUCUGAAAAUUUUCAACCUUAUGGUGUUGGUGGAGUGCUCAUGUGAAGAGUGAAACUGACUUAAGAAUAAAAGAAAAAGUGGGCAAAACUAAUGCUAAACUUGAGACCAUUGGGCAGAAAUUUGCCUGUGUGUGUAGAGUAAUUGGUCUUGAGUCAAAGUAACUAUGCUUAUUUUUAACAUCACUGAAUAUUUUCUAGCGUUACACUCUAUAUAGGCUUGUAGAAAUAAACCCAGGGGUAAGCCCAGAAAUUGAAUAUCAGUCCUAAAGAAAGCCUAUCAAGAGCAUCCUAUUCUCUUUAAGAGCUGCUAUUCGAAUUUAGGACUGGGCUGGUUUGCUGCUCAUUCUCUCGAGGCAUAGGCAGCCACACUUGAAUUUUGCCAAGUAUGCAGAUAAUUCCAACUUGUAGUCAGGAUCAUCAGGUAAUAGCAUUAUAAGGGGAGCUGUACAGACUGUAUACUUUCUACAGUUUGUUGAAAUAGAAACAUUUAUAUGGAUACAUACAUCUGCAAAGGUUAGGGAGAAAACGGUAGCCCUGGCAGAGAAGAGCUAGUUAGUGUAUUUCAGGAUAGGGCCAAGGGAAGCUGUCAUUUCUCUACUAAGUCUCAUUGUGGAAAAGCCACAAAUGUCCCUAGUACAGUAAUAAGGAAAAAAAGGCUGAGCGUGGUGGCUCACACCUGUAGUCCCAGGACUUUCGGAAGGAUUGCUUGAGCCCAGGAGUUGCAGAUCGGCCAGGACAAUGUAAGAAAACCCCAUGUAUUAGAAAAAAAGAAUUAGCCAGGCGUGAUGGUGUGGGUCUAUAGUCUCAGCUUGGGAGGCUGAGGUGGCAGGAUCGCAUAUAGCCCAGGAGUUCGAGGCUGCAGUGAGCCAUGAUCGCAUCACUGCACCCUAGUCUGGGCAACAGAGUCUCUAAAAAGGAAAAAAAAAAAAAAAGUUAAAUCGCUGUUUAAUUAUGUGCCAAUUUAUUUUGGUAUUUUGAGAAUCUGGUAAAUUAGGAAUUCAAAAAUAGUUUUAACACUUUUUACUUCAAAGAAAAUCACAGUGCAAGCAAUCUGAGUGGAUUCAUCAAAAGUUAUACAUGAAUAUUCUGCAGAGUCUGGUGUUGCUGAAAGUUUUGAUUUGUGUUCUGCUGAGACACAACCAUGAAAAUAUGCACUUGCUUGUAUUCCGAAGAGGAUAGUUCCAGUGAGACUUGGACAAUGAGCAGAAAAAAUUUUUUUUUGAGACGAGGUGUCGCUGUGUCGCCCAGGCUGGAGUGCAGCGGCGCGAUAUCUGCUCACUGCAACCUCUGCCUCCUGGGUUCAAGCGAUUCUCAUGCCUCAGCCUCCCAAGUAGCUGGGACUACAGGUGCCCGCCACCACACCCGGCUAAUUUUUUGUAUUUUUUUUUUUUUAGUAGAGACGGGGUUUCGCAGUGUUAGCCAGGAUGGUCUCGAUCUCCUGACCUCGUGAUCCACCCGCCUCGGCCUUCCAAAGUGCUGGGAUUACAGGUGUGAGCCAUUGUGCCCAGCUCAGAAAAUUUAAUAGUACUAGAUCUCGUGUGUGUGUGUGUGUGUGUGUGCGCGCGCUUAGGUUGAAGGUGGAAUUUAACAUUGAUUUAAAAAAAAUAAUAGUAGGAAAAAAUAAAUGCGGUUUGAGUCCAAAGCAGCAUUUUUCACUAAUUUUAUGAAGGAAGUCCUUUUGAGUAAUGUCUUAAAUUAGGAAAAUGGCGUACUUUUACAUGUUAGACAUUAAACUCUAGGGCAGAUAACCAUGCCCUGUGUGUUGUGUAUCAAGCUUAGCAUAUACAUAGGAAAAGAUGUAUUGUGAGAGUGUCUUACAUUUCGUUGGUUUGGUCAUAAAGUUUAUAGAAAAUGCUUGUUUUAUAGUUGGUUGUUAUUGAGAUGAGAGUCCCUCAAGGAACUCCCUAUGCUUUAGGGAGCUUUUUGUUUUAAACCUACUGGUUAGACUUGUGGGUUUUAAUGUUUUCAGCUGUGGUUGUAAGAAACACAUUUUAAAUUGCACCUAGUAUAGACAUACAUGUAAAACAAACAAAAUUUUUACGAAGUAGUACUUGUAUUAAGAGUGAUGUACUCUGCUAUCUUCUAUUUCAUUUUUUUAAAGUUGAUAUUGCUGCCUUAAAUUGAUUUUUUCAACCACUAAUGAGUCAGGACCCACUAUUUAAAAAAUACUGGUGUGUUCUCUUGCUGUUACGAAUUAACCCAAAACUUAGUGGUUUAAAGCAAUAAACUUGUGUUUAUCUCAUGUAGGUUCUGUGGGUCAGGAAUCUGGGAGUAGCUUACUUAGGUGGUUCUGGGUCAGGGUUUUUCAUGAGGUUCCAAGGUGGCUCUCAUUUGGCAAGUCAGCUAUGGCUGAUGGUGGAAGUUCUUCAUUGGACUGCUUGAGUGUCCUCAAGCAGUGGCGAAGGCUAGCUACCCGCAGAGUAGGUGAUUCAAGCAAGAGCAGAGAGGAGGCCACACACCAUCACUUCUGCCAUAUUCUAUUAAAAAGAAGUCACUUAAGUCCAGCCCAAACUCAGGGGAUGAGUAUCAAAGAAUUAUGGACAUAGUUUAAUAGCUGCCACAUUUAUAUGUUUUUCCACUUUAUAUUUUAUUUAUUUAUUUAUUUAGAGAUGGAGUCUUGCUCUGUCGCCCAGGCUGGAGUGCAGUGGCGUCAUCUCAGCUCACUGCAGCCUCUGCCUCCCGGGUUCAAGUGAUUGUCCUGCCUCAGCCUCCCUAGUAGCUGGAAUUAUAGGUGCCCCCUACCACGUCCGGCUAAUUUUGUAUUUUUAGUAGAGAUGGGGUUUCACUAUAUUGGCCAGGCUGGUCUCGAACUCUUGAACUCAGGUGAUCCACCUGCCUCAGCCUCCCAAAGUGCUGGGAUUUCAGGCAUGAGCCACCACCCUGGCCUGUUUUUCCAUUUUAAAGAUGAGUUAGGAUUGCACCAAAAGCCAUGCUGAAAUCAACCUAUAAGUAAUUAUCUUAGUUAAUUAAGUCAGUUUUUUUCUCUGAGGGCAUCUAGUCACACUUCCUUCUCAGUCUUCAAUUUGAAAAAGCAGGCUCAAAGAAUUUAAGUAAUUAAGCAGCCCAAGGUCAUUCAGUCUAGGAAAACCUCACAAAUUUUCUCUGACCUUUGUCAUGAAUAACAUGUGAGCUGAUAAAGAUGAGAAAAUUAAGAAGUUACACUGUAGAACUGUUCGCCAGUCUUCUAGUUUGCAGACCUCCAUAUUAUAAUACACUUUAAAAUUCAGAUAAUGCUUGGUGUCUAGAUUCCUCAUACUAGCACCCCUCCUGUUCAUUUUUAGAGGAAACAGGAAAUGUACUUAUUAAAUGAAUUCAAACUACUUUGAAUAGACCAUUCCAGAUGCUGCCUGUAUACUCACUAUGAGAUGUACUGUGCAAACUAAUUCCAAUUAGCACAUUUUGAGAACCCAAAAGGAUGUUGUGACUUAAAGAUGAUGAGAAUUUAAGUGUAAAGAAGACUACACUUCUUUAUGCUGUGAAAUUUUCAUAGAAAUUUUGGAUCUGGAAGGAUUUUGUUCUAAGACUAGUUUUAGCUUAGUGAUAAAAGGAAUAGGAUGACAUUGGUAGUGAGCGAAGGCAGGAUAAAUUUCUAAAGACUUCCUUAAAAAUUUUUUUAAUCCAUUAGGCUUUUCUAAAUUAUAGGUUGGGAUACAAUAAGUUAUCUUACACCUUUGCUUCACGGAAUGGGCUAAUGGCUACUUUUUUUUUUUUUUUUUUUUUUUUUUUUGAGAUGGAGUCUUACUCCCAUCUCACAGGCUGGAGUGUAGUGGCACAAUCUUGGCUUACUGCAACCUCCACCUCCCGGGUUCAAGUGAUUCUCCUUCCUCAGCCUCCUGAGUAGCUGGGAUUAUAGGCGUGCACCACCACACCCGGCUAAUUUUUGUAUUUUUAGUAGAGAUGGGGUUUCACCAUGUUGGCCAGGCUGGUCUCGAACUCCUGACCUCAGGUGUGCCACCUGCCUUGGCCUCCCAAAGUGCUAGGAUUACAGGCAUGAGCCACUGCGCCUGGCCGGAUAAUGGCUACUUAAAUCAUUUUUCAGUUUUCCCUUACCACUAUGAUUCCUGACUGUUUCUAUUCUGACCUAAAGUACUGUUUGUACACAAUUAAUUUUGAUUACCCUUUUUGCUUGUUACUUGUCUCCCUAUAUCUUGUAUCUCUCACUCUCACUGUAAGCUCCCUGAGGGCAGGUACUUCUUUUUAUGUACACUCCUGGUACUCAAUUGCUUGCAGAAUUGAGUUGAAUUUGUAGUUAAAGGAUCUAAGAUGAUCAUUUUCCCACUCGAACUGAGUGAAAAAGGUGUUUAUUGUUGCAGAAAACAUCUGCGUAUAGGUAUUGGAUGCUAGUGGUGCAUAUAUGAAUACCUAUCUCUGCUCUUCAGGUGGUCACAGUCCACUGGGGGAGAAAAACACAGAUACUUAGUACAAUUUAUUCUAUACUGCAGAUGUGCAGAGUGCUGUGGGUAUGUAGAUAACUUUAAGCUGAAUCUUGGUCGGUGAGCAGGUGUUCAGAAGAUAGACUUAGUGGCCAAGUGCGGUGGCUCACGCCUGUAACCCCAGCACUUUGGGAGGCCGAGGCGGGUGGAUCACUUGAGGUAAGGAGAUCGAGACCAUCCUGGCCAACAUGGUGAAACCCCGUCUCUACUAAAAAUACAAAAAUUAGCUGGGCGUGGUGGUGCAUGCCUGUAAUCCCAGCUACUCGGGAGGCUGAGGCAGGAGAAGCGUUUGAACCAGGGAGUUGGAGGGUUGCAGUGAGCCGAGAUGUUGCCACUGCACUCUAGCCUGGUGACAGAGCGAGGCUCUGUAUCAAAAAAAAAAAAAAAAAAAAAGAUAGACUUAGUUUUGUGAUGUGCUUUGGGGGUGGUGCAUUUCUUAGCUUCAUUCCUUUACUAUACAUCUCCCUUGAAUUAUUUUCCUUUUAUCGUUGGUGAGUUACCAUCAUAAUUUAAUAAAUUGUUUCCUUCUGUGACAUGUACAUUCUUGUCACAUCAUUUCUCUAGAACUGUGCUGUCCAGUUCAACUCAGUGUCACACUAGCCAUGUGUGCUGAGUAGCCACCUGUGGCUAGAGGCUACCAUAUUUGGGCAGCACAGAUAAUAUAAAACAUUUCUAUUAUUGGAGAAAGUUCAGUUGGACAUCACUGCUCUAGAAUCAUGUUUUGCUUCUCCCUAUUUUCACGUUAUCAAUAGUGUAUUGAGUUCAGAAUAGAAUUAGGAAACAAUAGCCUCCUGAUAUUGUCAUUGGGAGGGAUAGAGUGGUUGAUAUUUAUGAACAGAGGGGGGAGAGUGUAGUGUUUGGUAGUGGUUGAGAAUAUAGCCUUUGGAAUCAGAUCUGGGUUGGAAUUAUGGUCCGUCCCUUACACACUGUAUGGCUUCGGGCAUGUUACUGAACCUCUGAGCCUCAAGUUUUCCUUCUCAAAUAGGGUUAAUAGUAAUUAUCUCAUAACAUUGGGUGAACAUAAAAACAGGAGGGGGGCCGUAGCACAGUACCUCAGUAAAUGAUAAAAUCGGUAUAUUUUUGAAAUCAUCACUGAUUUAAAAAAAAACCUUAGAAUUAUGUAGUAAAAGUGACUUUUUUUUUUCAGUAUACCGUUCUGUGAUUUUUAACAUAGUAUUUAUUUGUUGUAAUCACCAACACGAGAAUAUAGGCCAGGUCUAUCACUUUAUUUUGCUGUCUUUAUAGACCUGUGCUGUUUCCACCCCUAACCCCUGGCUGUCACCGAUCUGUUGUCCAUCACUAUAGUUUUACCUUUUCUAGGAUGUUACAUAAAUGGAAUUACACAGUAUGUCGCCUUUGCACACUGGCUUCCUUUACCCAGCCAGAUUGGGUUGAGAGCGAUUUGUCCAAGUUGUUACAUCUAUCAGUCGUUGAAAACUGAUCUUUAAAGACAUUUUAAUUUUGAAUCAUUAUUUCCUAAACGUGAAUCUGAAUUCCUUAACAGUUCUUCAAGUAGUGUUUGGCUCAGGAUUUUUGUGUUUAAAAGUAAAAUAAAUGGUAAAAUAUAUAGGGAAAAAUUACUGCUUCCACCUGAUUGGUAAAAACCAUGUGUGACAUUAACAUGCUUUUCUUUAGGGAAGGUUCUUGUUUUUAGUAGUUGAUCCAUAUUAAAGCUCUGUAGAGUUGCCACAAAGUCCAGAGUUGAAAAAGGUGGCUGUUAAAAUAUCAGUUUCUAAAAUGUGGCCGAAGAUAGCGUGACCAGUCCUGGUUUGCCCAGGACUUUGCCAGUAUUAGCAGUGAAAGUCUGGCCGCUCUCAGGAAACCCCUUGGUCCCAGUCAAACCCAGAAUGGGACCAAGCGCCGUGGCUCAUUCCUGUAAUCCCAGCACUUUGGAAGGCUGAAGUGGGCAGAUCACGAGGUCAGGAGUUUGAGAACAGCCUGGCCAAAAUGGUGAAACCCCGUCUCUAAUAAUAGCCUGACAUGGUGAUGCACGCCUGUAAUCCCAGCUGCUUGGGAGGCUGAGGCAGGAGAAUCGCUUGAACCCAGGAGGUAGAGCUUGCAGUGAGCCAAGAUUGUGCCAAUGCACUGCAGCCUGGGUGACAGACUGAGACUGUGUCUGAAAAACAAACAAACAAACAAAACCCCAGAAUGGUUGGUCACCCUAUCUGAAAAGAGACACACAAAAUCAGAGGAUUCCAGUUCAUCAGGUUUCAGUAGUGAACCAUCGGCCAAGUAUUUCAUCUAAUCUUAAUUGCCUUUGGGUGCUUAGAGUCAAAUCUCUAAGGUAACCAGAACCCAAACCACAUGAGGUUUUUUAGAUUAAGAUCAGCACCUUGAAUUUAAGGUUUUGUGGCUAGAGGUUUAGAUUUGAUUGGAAUUACAUCGUUAAUUUUUGUUAAAUUGUUGAAUAAGCAACUUCCCAAGCCUUGUGUGUAGAAGCUAGAUUAAAAGUCAAGUUUCUACUUAACCAGAAUCUCUGUUUUGAGUUUUUAAAUUCAACUGGUGAUGUCUAAAUCUUAAGGAUAUUGUAAGUUCCUUAACUAGUCUGUUCCAUUUUCCUGAGUUUUCACAUCACCUCUCUACCUCUUGUGUAGAUUUUAUUUUUUAUUUUGAAACGGAUUUUCGCUCUUGUUGCCCAGGCUGGAGUGCAGUGGCACCAUCUCGGCUCCGCAACCUCUGCCUCCUGGGUUCAAGCGAUUCUCCUCCCUCAGCCUCCUGAGUAGCUGGGUUUACAGGCACAUGCCAGCGCACCUGGCUAAUUUAGUAUUUUUAGUAGAGACGGGGUUUCUCCAUGUUGGUCAGGCUGGUCUCAAUUUCCGGACCUCAGGUGAUUUACCCGCCUCUGCCUCCCAAAGUGCUGGAAUUACAGGCAUAAGCCACCACGCCCAGCCCUAGAUUUCUUUAUAGAGCAUCUGUCUAUAAGCAGAUUACUUAGUUUUCCUGAUGUCUUCGUUGGAAUGUAAGCUUUGUGAAAGCCAGGGGCCCUAUGUGUCAUCUUUACCACUAUGUCUUAGAUCUUAGAGCAGCCCAUCAUAAGUUCUAAUAAGUAAUUGUGGAAUUGGAUGAGAAAAUGAAUAUGAGUCAGUUUUACAAUGCUGCAUGCUUCCCAGAUUAUUUUAACAGUCUAGGGGAUGUGGAAAGAUUUUGUUUUAAAAACGUUUAAAAGUCCACGUUUUGUUUGAUAUUGUUCAGAGGAAGUGAAAAUGUGGUCUUUAAAAAAUUUUGUUGCCCGGGUGUGGUGACUCACGCCUGUAAUCCCAGCACUUUGGGAGGCUGAGGCGGGAGAAUCGCUUGAACCCGGGAGGCGGAGGUUGCAGUGAGCGGAGAUCGCGCCAUUGCACUCCAGCCUGGGCCACAGAGCAAAACUCUGUCUUAAAAAAAAAAAAAAAAGGCUGGGCGCGGUGGCUCACGCCUGUAAUCCUAGCACUUUGGGAGGCCGAGGUGGGCAGAUCACGAGGUCAGGAGAUCGAGACCAUCCUGGCUAACACGGUGAAACCCCGUCUCUACUAAAAAUACAAAAAAUUAGCUGGGUGUGGUGGCAGGCACCUGUAAUCCCAGCUACUCGGGAGGCUGAGGCAGGAGAAUGGCGUGAACCUGGGAGGCAGGCGGAGCUUGCAGUGAGCCGAGAUCGUGCCACUGCACUCCAGCCUGGGUGAAAGUGUGAGACUCUCAAAAAAAAAAAUUGUUUCAUUAACCCUCUAUGAGGGAAGGGAAUUUAGAAUGGUGACAUUAAACCUUCCUUUAAAAUGGCAAUUCAGAACCAGUGGAGAGAGCUGAAAGUGAGAGUAGAUUUGGAUUUGGAAAAAUUCCCUCUACUUCUCAUACACAUCACCUUCUCCCAACACAGGCACUUUGUAAAGGCAUAGAGCAGGGUCUGAGGAGAUUGGGUUGGUGAAAGAGAGAACUGAGUCACUUGAGAUUAGUACUUGGUAAGCAAGAGAGUGCUAAUGAAUUAUUUAAAAUCUGUGUAACCUGAGUGUAAACCAAUACAUAGACUAAGUUAGUGCUUCUCAGAGCUUAGGGAGCAUAGGAGUCUCCUGGAGAAUUAGAAGAAACAGAUUUUCCUAGCUCCGGCCCCAGACGUUCUGAUUUAGUGUGGUGUAGAACUCAGGAGUUAGUAAUAUUAAUGGACAGUCUUGAGUAUUUGCUGAUGCAACUGGUCUGAGGACCAUACUUUGGAAGACCUGCUUUAGAUAGUAGACAGGACAGUAAUUUAAAAUAGGCAAAUAUGGUUUAUUUUUAAAAUGGUAAAACUAGAAAGAUACUGAUUUUAUGUGUUUAAAAAAAAAAGUCUGCAUCUGACUGCUAUGGUUAUCCAAGAAGGCACCCCAGAAUACCUGUUGGCCACCGCUGUUUGGUAUAUGCAAAAAUGUGUAGUUUUUAAAAGAGUCUUUUUGGGCUUGCACUGAGGAGCCACCCUAUUUUAUACAGUCAAAAUAUUGCUAUAUUUAAGUUAACCAUUCUGUUCCAGUGCAGGAUUCAGUAACAUCUAUUCUGUAAGUUUCAGUUGUGAUAUUUCUUAAAGAUUCAAAGAUGGAUCCUGGGAAUUUGAUUUAGCCUCCAUUUCAUCUGGGAGUUAAUCCUCACAGCAACCCUGUGAGAUAGGUUAAUAAUUAAACCCUCCUAUUCACACAUAUUUCAUUAAUCCUUACAGCAACCUGAGAGAUAGUUUAAUAAUUAAACCUACUCCACAGAUGAGGAAACUGAGGCCCAAGAGGUUCAGUGAUUCGCCCAAGGUUAUAACAGCAAGAAUUGGUGGUGAAACAAGAAUUCAAAUCCAGAUUGGUCUUAAUAGUGAGCUCUCAUGUGUGAUAGAAAUUAGAUACCACUUUGAGGACUUUGGGAGCCAGUGGUGAAUGUACUUACUUUAGGCUCUAAAUACUCUGUGUAAUUUCUUGGUCAUUUUGUUCUUAGAGAGGUGGUGAUCUUAAUAAAGUUUUGACUUUAUUAAGUAAUUAAAAGUUUUUACUUAUGUUACAACUAAAACAAUUCUUUAAAACUUUCAUAACUUGAAGUUUUAAAUCCUAAAAUUAGUUGAAAAAGAUGUAAUUGCCAGUGUAUCGUAAAUACUGGUAUUUUAAAAUAAAGCUGCUUUAUCACUUUUAAGGAAAGCCCUUGUAAUUUAGUGCAUUGUAAUAGUGUAUUGAGCUGAUGUCCACCAUGAUCCAUGUAAACAUAGGUGAACUAUGCAAAUACAAGUUUUUCUUCUUGAAAAUGUUACAUUUCCUCUACAACACUUUAUGCUAAUAAAUGUUUAUGAACCUCUUUUGAUGAUCCUUUCAUUUCUUGUAAAUUUUUGUAUAUAACUUGAAAUGUUUAAUUUGCUGUAAUCAUAAGGCAUCAAAUGUUCAUGGUUUUUUUCUGGACUAUUUUCACAUUGUUAGUACUGAUUAGUUGACCAAAACAGCAAAUUGCAUACAUUGAUACUUGCAGUAAAAUUUCACUGGAAUUGUACCUCCUAAAAAAAAUGGGAGAAAACAUAAUGGCUUCAAUUAAAGGAGGCUGCAUUUACCAAUCUUCCAAAUUGUCCUUUUUUGUUUUUGUGGCUUCCCAAAAGUGUUGACAAAUAGGUUUAAUGUAUUUAAAGGUUAUUGAAUGUAGUGGACCAAACUAUUGAGGAUAGGUGAGAGACGCCGCUUCUGUAAGUGUGAUAAGGGAAGAUGGGAAGAGCAGGAUACACUGCAGG
Molecule: long non-coding RNA, 11484 nt
Filed under: Homo sapiens (human)
Lineage: Eukaryota; Metazoa; Chordata; Mammalia; Primates; Hominidae
Description: HSALNT0337831
Source: RNAcentral